Molecule: ribosomal RNA, 448 nt
Filed under: uncultured bacterium
Lineage: Bacteria
Description: bacterial SSU rRNA
Rfam family: Bacterial small subunit ribosomal RNA
Source: RNAcentral
AAUAUUGCACAAGUGGGCGCAAGCCUGUAUGCAGCCAUGCCGCGUGUAUGAAGAAGGUCCUUCGGGUUGUAAAGUACUUUCAGCAGUGAGGUAAGGUGGGUAUGUUAAUAGCAUACUCAUUUAACGUUAGCUGCAGAAGAAGCACCGGCUAACUCCGUGCCAGCAGCCGCGGUAAUACGGAGGGUGCGAGCGUUAAUCGGAAUUACUGGGCGUAAAAGCGCAUGCAGGUGGUUUGUUAAGUCAGAUGUGAAAGCCCCGGGGCUCAACCUCGGAAUUGCAUUUGAAAACUGGCAAACUAGAGUACUGUAGAGGGGGUAGAAUUUCAGGUGUAGCGGUGAAAAUGCGUAGAGAUCUGAAGGAAUACCGGUGGCGAAGGCGGCCCCCUGGACAGAUACUGACACUCAGAUGCGAAAGCGUGGGGAGCAAACAGGAUUAGAUACCCUGGUAG